Molecule: transfer RNA, 74 nt
Filed under: Albula glossodonta (roundjaw bonefish)
Lineage: Eukaryota; Metazoa; Chordata; Actinopteri; Albuliformes; Albulidae
Description: tRNA-Leu (UUR)
Rfam family: tRNA
About the family: Transfer RNA (tRNA) molecules are approximately 80 nucleotides in length. Their secondary structure includes four short double-helical elements and three loops (D, anti-codon, and T loops).
Source: RNAcentral
GCUAGGAUGGCAGAGCCUGGUAAUUGCGAAAGGCCUAAGCCCUUGGUACAGAGGUUCAAGUCCUCUUUCUAGCU